Molecule: ribosomal RNA, 433 nt
Filed under: uncultured bacterium
Lineage: Bacteria
Description: partial 16S ribosomal RNA
Rfam family: Bacterial small subunit ribosomal RNA
Source: RNAcentral
AACGAACGCUGGCGGCAUGCCUAACACAUGCAAGUCGAACGAGCCCUUCGGGUCUAGUGGCGCACGGGUGCGUAACGCGUGGGAACCUGCCCUUAGGUUCGGAAUAACUCCCCGAAAGGGGUGCUAAUACCGGAUAAUGUCUUCGGACCAAAGAUUUAUCGCCUUUGGAUGGGCCCGCGUUGGAUUAGCUAGUUGGUAGGGUAAAAGCCUACCAAGGCGACGAUCCAUAGCUGGGCUGAGAGGAUGAUCAGCCACACUGGGACUGAGACACGGCCCAGACUCCUACGGGAGGCAGCAGUGGGGAAUAGUGGACAAUGGGCGAAAGCCUGAUCCAGCAAUGCCGCGUGAGUGAUGAAGGCCUGAGGGUUGUAAAGCUCUUUUACCCGGGAUGAUAAUGACAGUACCGGGAGAAUAAGCUCCGGCUAACUACGUG